Molecule: ribosomal RNA, 305 nt
Filed under: uncultured bacterium
Lineage: Bacteria
Description: bacterial SSU rRNA
Rfam family: Bacterial small subunit ribosomal RNA
Source: RNAcentral
UUGCCUACGGGGGGCAGCAGUGGGGAAUAUUGGACAAUGGGGGAAACCCUGAUCCAGCGACGCCGCGUGAGUGAAGAAGUAUUUCGGUAUGUAAAGCUCUAUCAGCAGGGAAGAAAAUGACGGUACCUGAGUAAGAAGCCCCGGCUAACUACGUGCCAGCAGCCGUGGUAAUACGUAGGGGGCAAGCGUUAUCCGGAUUUACUGGGUGUAAAGGGAGCGUAGACGGUACGCCAAGUCUGAAGUGAAAUGCCGCAGCUUAACUGCGGAACUGCUUUGGAAACUGGCGGGCUGGAGUGCGGGAGGGG